UGGGGAAUUUUGCGCAAUGGGCGAAAGCCUGACGCAGCAACGCCGCGUGGAGGAUGAAGGUGCUCUGCAUCGUAAACUCCUGUCGGCCGGGAAGAAGGCUCGGGGGAGUAACUGCCCCCGGGAUUGACUGUACCGGCAAAGGAAGCCCCGGCUAACUCCGUGCCAGCAGCCGCGGUAAUACGGAGGGGGCAAGCGUUACUCGGAAUUAUUGGGCGUAAAGGGCGCGUAGGCGGUCCAGUGCGUCGGAGGUGAAAUCCCCGGGCUCAACCCGGGAACCGCCUCCGAUACGGCUGGACUUGAGUCCGGGAGAGGGGAGCAGAAUUCCCAGUGUAGCGGUGAAAUGCGUAGAUAUUGGGAGGAAUACCAGUGGCGAAGGCGGCUCCCUGGACCGGUACUGACGCUGAGGCGCGAAAGCGUGGGUAGCAAACAGG
This 431-nucleotide ribosomal RNA is filed under the name uncultured bacterium. RNAcentral's name for it is "bacterial SSU rRNA". It matches the Rfam family "Bacterial small subunit ribosomal RNA", at positions 355 to 776 of the family's 1533-position model. The record is from RNAcentral.